Molecule: ribosomal RNA, 1145 nt
Filed under: uncultured bacterium
Lineage: Bacteria
Description: bacterial SSU rRNA
Rfam family: Bacterial small subunit ribosomal RNA
Source: RNAcentral
CUGAGAUGAGCUUGCGUACCAUUAGCUAGUUGGUGGUGUAACGGACCACCAAGGCGACGAUUGGUAGCCGAACUGAGAGGUUGAUCGGCCACAUUGGGACUGAGAUACGGCCCAGACUCCUACGGGAGGCAGCAGUGGGGAAUAUUGCGCAAUGGGGGAAACCCUGACGCAGCAACGCCGCGUGAAGGAUGAAGGUUUUCGGAUCGUAAACUUCUUUGAUGGGGGACGAAACAAAUGACGGUACCCCAAAAACAAGCCACGGCUAACUACGUGCCAGCAGCCGCGGUAAUACGUAGGUGGCAAACGUUGUCCGGAAUUACUGGGCGUAAAGGGCGAGUAGGUGGUUUAUUAAGUCAGAAGUGAAAACUCCGGGCUCAACUCGGAGACUGCUCCUGAAACUGGUAGACUUGAGUGCAAGAGAGGGAAGUGGAAUUCCUAGUGUAGCGGUGAAAUGCGUAGAUAUUAGGAGGAACACCAGUGGCGAAGGCGACUUCCUGGCUUGUAACUGACACUGAGGCGCGAAAGCGUGGGGAUCAAACAGGAUUAGAUACCCUGGUAGUCCACGCCGUAAACGAUGAGUGCUAGGUGUUGGGUAGCGAUAUUCAGUGCCGAAGUUAACACAAUAAGCACUCCGCCUGGGGAGUACGGUCGCAAGACUGAAACUCAAAGGAAUUGACGGGGGCCCGCACAAGCGGUGGAGCAUGUGGUUUAAUUCGACGCAACGCGAAGAACCUUACCAAGGCUUGACAUCCCCCUGACCGGUACAGAGAUGUACCUUCCCCUUCGGGGCUGCUUACAAGGUGCUGCAUGGUUGUCGUCAGCUCGUGCCGUGAGGUGUCGGGUUAAGUCCCAUAACGAGCGCAACCCUUAUCGUUAGUUGCCAGCGGGUCAUGCCGGGGACUCUAGCGAGACUGCCGUUGACAAAACGGAGGAAGGUGGGGAUGACGUCAAAUCAUCAUGCCCCUUAUGUCUUGGGCUACACACGUACUACAAUGGCCUGAACAGAGGGAAGCGAAACUGCGAAGUUAAGCGAACCCCUUAAAACAGGUCCCAGUUCGGAUUGGAGUCUGCAACCCGACUCCAUGAAGUUGGAUUCGCUAGUAAUCGCGCAUCAGCAUGCCGCGGUGAAUACGUUCUCGGGCCUU